UACGUAGGGUGCAAGCGUUAAUCGGAAUUACUGGGCGUAAAGCGUGCGCAGGCGGUUAUGUAAGACAGAUGUGAAAUGCCCGGGCUCAACCUGGGAACUGCAUUUGUGACUGCAUGGCUAGAGUGUGUCAGAGGGGGGUAGAAUUCCACGUGUAGCAGUGAAAUGCGUAGAGAUGUGGAGGAACACCGAUGGCGAAGGCAGCCCCCUGGGCUAACACUGACGCUCAUGCACGAAAGCGUGGGGAGCAAACAGG
Molecule: ribosomal RNA, 253 nt
Filed under: uncultured bacterium
Lineage: Bacteria
Description: partial 16S ribosomal RNA
Rfam family: Bacterial small subunit ribosomal RNA
Source: RNAcentral